UUGAACGCUGGCGGCAUGCUUUACACAUGCAAGUCGCACGGUAACAGGCCUUCGGGUGCUGACGAGUGGCGAACGGGUGAGUAAUGCAUCGGAACGUACCCAGAGGUGGGGGAUAACGCAGCGAAAGCUGUGCUAAUACCGCAUGUGAUCUGAGGAUGAAAGCGGGGGACCGAGCAGCAAUGUUUGGCCUCGCGCCUUUGGAGCGGCCGAUGUCGGAUUAGCUAGUUGGUGGGGUAAAGGCCUACCAAGGCGACGAUCCGUAGCUGGUCUGAGAGGACGACCAGCCACACUGGGACUGAGACACGGCCCAGACUCCUACGGGAGGCAGCAGUGGGGAAUUUUGGGCAAUGGGCGCAAGCCUGAUCCAGCAAUGCCGCGUGCGGGAAGAAGGCCUUCGGGUUGUAAACCGCUGUUGGCAGGAACGAAACGGUGUCCGCUAAUACCGGGCGCUAAUGACGGUACCUGCAGAAUAAGCACCGGCUAACUACGUG
This 491-nucleotide ribosomal RNA is filed under the name uncultured bacterium. RNAcentral describes it as "partial 16S ribosomal RNA". It matches the Rfam family "Bacterial small subunit ribosomal RNA", at positions 29 to 507 of the family's 1533-position model. The record is from RNAcentral.